Molecule: RNase P RNA, 326 nt
Filed under: Chlamydiota bacterium
Lineage: Bacteria; Pseudomonadati; Chlamydiota
Description: Chlamydiae bacterium (marine sediment metagenome) RNase P RNA component class A
Rfam family: Bacterial RNase P class A
About the family: Ribonuclease P (RNase P) is a ubiquitous endoribonuclease, found in archaea, bacteria and eukarya as well as chloroplasts and mitochondria. Its best characterised activity is the generation of mature 5'-ends of tRNAs by cleaving the 5'-leader elements of precursor-tRNAs.
Source: RNAcentral
AGGGAAAAGCAUCUAGUCGCUACUUUUAGUAGAGGAAAGUCUGGACUUUAUAAAAGACGAUGCCAGAGAAAAUCUGGGAACUGCAAAGUUACGGAAAGUGCAAAAGAGACCAAAACUUCUAAUUUUUAGAAGGGUGAAAAGAUUUUUUUUAAAAUCGCUUUAGAGUAAUCUAAAGUUGUUGUAAACCCCAUCGAAAGCAAGACUAUGUUAUGAGUAAGCGUAUCUUUUCGCUAAAGCUCAAUGGUGAGUCGCUUGAGGAUUUUGGUAACAAAAUCCCUAGAUGAAUGACUAGAAAAACAAAAUCCGGCUUACGCUUUUCCCUACUU